This 465-nucleotide ribosomal RNA is filed under the name uncultured bacterium. Its description in RNAcentral is "partial 16S ribosomal RNA". It matches the Rfam family "Bacterial small subunit ribosomal RNA", at positions 28 to 507 of the family's 1533-position model. The record is from RNAcentral.
GACGAACGCUGGCGGCGUGCUUAACACAUGCAAGUCGAACGGAAAGGCCCUGCUUGCAGGGUACUCGAGUGGCGAACGGGUGAGUAACACGUGGGUGAUCUGCCCUGCACUUCGGGAUAAGCCUGGGAAACUGGGUCUAAUACCGGAUAGGAGCCAUUUUUAGUGUGAUGGUUGGAAAGUUUUUUCGGUGUAGGAUGAGUUCGCGGCGUAUCGGCUUGCUGCUGGGGUUAUGGCCUACCAAGGCGGCUGCGGGUAGCCGGACUGAGAGGGUGGACGGCGACACUGGGACUUAGGUACGGCACAGACUGCGACGGGAGGGAGCAGUGGGGAAGAUUGAACAAUGGGCGCAAGGCGGAUGCAGCGACGCCGCGUGGGGGAUGACUGUCUUAGGGUUGUAAACUCCUUUCGCUAGGGACGAAGCUUUUUGUGACGGUACCUAGAUAAGAAGCACCGGCUAACUACGUG